RNAcentral lists this microRNA (23 nucleotides) under Bombyx mori (domestic silkworm). RNAcentral describes it as "bmo-miR-3409". The record is from miRBase by way of RNAcentral. Lineage: Eukaryota; Metazoa; Arthropoda; Insecta; Lepidoptera; Bombycidae.
UGAACAAGCUUCCGCAAGUGCCA